ACUCAAAGGAAUUGACGGGGGCCCGCACAAGCGGUGGAGCAUGUGGUUCAAUUCGACGCAACGCGAAGAACCUUACCGGGGUUUGAACUGUACGGGAAAGCUGCAGAGAUGUGGCCUUCCUUCGGGACCCGUAUAGAGGUGCUGCAUGGCUGUCGUCAGCUCGUGUCGUGAGAUGUUGGGUUAAGUCCCGCAACGAGCGCAACCCUUGCCUCCUGUUGCCAACGGGUAAAGCCGGGCACUCUGGAGGUACUGCCGGCGAUAAGCCGGAGGAAGGUGGGGAUGACGUCAAGUCCUCAUGGCCUUUAUGCCCCGGGCCACACACGUGCUACAAUGGCUGGUACAGAGGGUCGCAAAACCGCGAGGUGGAGCUAAUCCCAAAAAACCAGUCCCAGUUCGGAUUGGAGUCUGCAACUCGACUCCAUGAAGUUGGAAUCGCUAGUAAUCGCGGAUCAGCACGCCGCGGUGAAUACGUUCCCGGGCCUUGUACACACCGCCCGU
This 498-nucleotide ribosomal RNA is filed under the name uncultured bacterium. RNAcentral's name for it is "partial 16S ribosomal RNA". It matches the Rfam family "Bacterial small subunit ribosomal RNA", at positions 899 to 1397 of the family's 1533-position model. The record is from RNAcentral.